CAGCCGCCACGGUAAUACGUAGGUGGCAAGCGUUGUCCGGAAUUAUUGGGCGUAAAGGGCUCGCAGGCGGUUUCUUAAGUCUGAUGUGAAAGCCCCCGGCUCAACCGGGGAGGGUCAUUGGAAACUGGGAAACUUGAGUGCAGAAGAGGAGAGUGGAAUUCCACGUGUAGCGGUGAAAUGCGUAGAGAUGUGGAGGAACACCAGUGGCGAAGGCGACUCUCUGGUCUGCAACUGACGCUGAGGAGCGAAAGCGUGGGGAGCGAACAGGAUUAGAUACCCCGGUAGUCCCUGUCUCUUAUAC
RNAcentral lists this ribosomal RNA (301 nucleotides) under uncultured bacterium. RNAcentral describes it as "partial 16S ribosomal RNA". It matches the Rfam family "Bacterial small subunit ribosomal RNA", at positions 509 to 807 of the family's 1533-position model. The record is from RNAcentral.